GACGAGUCCUACAGGGAGGGCAGCAGUGGGAAUAUUGCACAAUGGGGAAGCCAUCGAUGCAGCCAUGCCGCGCUGUGUGAAGAAGGCCAAUUCGGGCUUGGUUAAAGACACUUUUCAGUAGGGAGGAAGGUAGUGUAGUUAACACCUGCAUUAUUUGACGUUACCUACAGAAGAAGCACCGGCUAACUCCGUGCCAGCAGCCGCGGUAAUACGGAGGGUGCGAGCGUUAAUCGGAAUUACUGGGCGUAAAGCGCAUGCAGGCGGCCUGUUAAGUCAGAUGUGAAAGCCCGGG
RNAcentral lists this ribosomal RNA (292 nucleotides) under uncultured bacterium. RNAcentral describes it as "partial 16S ribosomal RNA". It matches the Rfam family "Bacterial small subunit ribosomal RNA", at positions 329 to 606 of the family's 1533-position model. The record is from RNAcentral.